GCCUAGCUUGCUAGGUGGAUUAGUGGCGCACGGGUGAGUAAUAUAUAGAUAACGUGCCUCUUAGUCUGGGAUAGCCAUUGGAAACGAUGAUUAAUACUAGAUACUCCUUCUAACUCUAAUGUUAGUCGGGAAAGUUUUUCGCUAAGAGAUCGGUCUAUAUCCCAUCAGCUAGUUGGUAGUGUAAGAGACUACCAAGGCAAUGACGGGUAGCGGGUUUGAGAGGAUGAUCCGCCACACUGGUACUGAGACACGGGCCAGACUCCUACGGGAGGCAGCAGUGAGGAAUAUUGCACAAUGGAGGAAACUCUGAUGCAGCAACGCCGCGUGGAGGAUGACGCAUUUCGGUGUGUAAACUCCUUUUAUAUGUCAAGAAAAUGACGGUAGCAUAUGAAUAAGCACCGGCUAACUCCGUGCCAGCAGCCGCGGUAAUACGGAGGGUGCAAGCGUUAUUCGGAAUCACUGGGCGUAAAGGACGCGUAGGCGGGAUGCCAAGUCUGAUGUGAAAU
RNAcentral lists this ribosomal RNA (506 nucleotides) under uncultured Campylobacterota bacterium. Its description in RNAcentral is "bacterial SSU rRNA". It matches the Rfam family "Bacterial small subunit ribosomal RNA", at positions 73 to 600 of the family's 1533-position model. The record is from RNAcentral. Lineage: Bacteria; Pseudomonadati; Campylobacterota.